AAACCGCAGUUCGCCGCCGCCGCCGCCGGGCACCCAGCCCCAGGGGGGCGGGCUGGAGGGAGGGGGCGGGCGCUGGCCGGGGGACCCCCGCAACCAUGGCGGGCGGGGAGUGGGCUGCCGAGCCGCUUCACCUGCCGCAGAGGGGGCGGCCGGCGCCGCUUCACCUGCCGGAGCGGGAGGCCACCGAGGCGAGGCCGAGGCGGCGGCGCGCUCGGCGGCGCCUCCGGGUCCUAGAACCGCAUCCUCCCGCUCGCCUCGGGCGAGGGAUUGGCCGGGUCUGGGUGAAGGGGAUCACGGCCUGGGGAUUGGAGGGGCACAUCUUCUCCGCACCGAGGAUCUCAGCGACUGCGAGCACGGCUCGGAGACCCACGGUGGUGCAGCGUUGGGGCGCCAGGGCUGCGUUCCCGUCUCGCGUCCCGGACUGAGAAGAGCCACUGACAAGACUUUAAGCAAGAGACGGAGAGUUAACAUCUAAUCUGGAGGAAGACCCUGGAAGGAGCCAGCCCCUUCCCCCAGGCUGACCUGGUUUAAGCCUUUCUUCUGCCAAGGUCACCAGCACCCCAGAUGGGUGAGAGAUGUGAUCACUGGUUUCGUGGCCUGACCAAGGACCUCCAAGGCCUCAUGUGGAAUGCAGCCUCUGAGAAAAGCACUUCUCACCACUCAAAACCCACCGAAGCAUGCCCAGCCCUGAGAGGGGCUUCUAGGAAUGCAAAACGAGCUGUCUCUGCAGCCACGAGCAGAGCUAACUGCAUAAUAAGCACACUGGAGGGGAUUCACAGGCUUUGAGGAUUGUUUUGAAGGAAGAGAAAUAGGUCCUACUUCUGUGGGAGACUGAUUAUUCCUUUAACUCCAAUCA
RNAcentral lists this long non-coding RNA (856 nucleotides) under Homo sapiens (human). RNAcentral describes it as "non-protein coding lnc-SPATA32-2:6". Lineage: Eukaryota; Metazoa; Chordata; Mammalia; Primates; Hominidae. The record is from RNAcentral.